CCGCUAUAUUUUUUUAAAGCCGGGUCAUAGCAUUACCGGGUCUUGCGCAAUGGGAGCCCAUGAACCUCGUCAGGUUCGGAAGAAAGCAGCGAUAAGUGGUAACUCUUAUGUGCCGCAAGUAAAUCUGGUAAUGCUAUGAUCCGGCUUUAAAAGCUAGCGG
This 160-nucleotide signal recognition particle RNA is filed under the name Sporomusaceae bacterium. Its description in RNAcentral is "signal recognition particle sRNA large type". It matches the Rfam family "Bacterial large signal recognition particle RNA", at positions 64 to 248 of the family's 256-position model. From Rfam's summary of the family: The signal recognition particle (SRP) is a universally conserved ribonucleoprotein involved in the co-translational targeting of proteins to membranes. Archaeal SRP consists of a 7S RNA and homologues of the eukaryotic SRP19 and SRP54 proteins. Lineage: Bacteria; Bacillati; Bacillota; Negativicutes; Selenomonadales; Sporomusaceae. The record is from RNAcentral.